Molecule: long non-coding RNA, 1509 nt
Filed under: Scophthalmus maximus (turbot)
Lineage: Eukaryota; Metazoa; Chordata; Actinopteri; Pleuronectiformes; Scophthalmidae
Description: lncRNA (ENSSMAG00000033193.1)
Source: RNAcentral
AUGAUGCUGCUGAGUCGGUCGGCUGAUUGGACAGAGCUGCACGGCUUCAGAGGCUGGACACGCCCCCACGCAUCUCAUCCUCCCAGUCCCCCCACCCCUCACCCCCCACCCCUCACCCCUCACCUCACCCCCUCACCUCACCCCACCCCUCACCUCACCCCCUCACCCCCAACCCUUCACCCCCACCUCACCCCCUCACCCCCUCACCUCACCCCCUCAACCCCCAACCCCUUCACCCCCCCACCCCCCCCACCCCCUCACCCCCUCACCCCUCACCCCCUCACCUCACCCCCACCCCCUCACCUCUCACCUCACCCCCUCACCUCUCACCUCACCCCACCCCUCACCCCCCUCACCCCCAACCCUUCACCCCCCACCUCACCCCCCUCACCCCCUCACCUCACCCCCUCACCCCCUCACCCCCAACCCUUCACCCCCCACCUCACCCCUCACCUCACCCCCUCAACCCCCAACCCUUCACCCCCACCUCACCCCCUCACCUCUCACCUCACCCCCAACCCCCUUCACCCCCCACCUCACCCCCUCACCCCUCACCUCACCCCCCUCACCUCUCACCUCACCCCCUCACCCCCACCCUUCACCCCCCCACCUCACCCCCUCACCCCUCACCCCCUCACCUCACCCCCUCACCUCACCCACCUCUCACCCCCUCACCCCCUCACCCCCUCACCCCCCUCACCCCCUCACCCCCUCACCCCCUCACCUCACCCCCUCACCCCCUCUCACCUCACCCCCCUCACCUCUCACCUCACCCCCUCACCUCUCACCUCACCCCACCUCACCCCUCACCCCUCACCUCACCCCUCACCCCCUCACCCCCUCACCCCCUCACCCCCUCACCCCCACCCCUCACCCCCUCACCCCCUCACCCCUCACCCCCUCACCCCCCUCACCCCCUCACCCCCACCUCACCCCCUCACCCUCACCCCCUCACCCCCUCACCCCCUCACCCCUCACCCUCACCCCCUCACCCCUCACCCCUCACCCCUCACCCCUCACCCCUCACCCCUCACCCCCCACCCCUCACCCCUCACCCCUCACCUCACCCCUCACCCCUCACCUCACCCCUCACCCCCUCACCCCCUCACCUCACCCCCUCACCCCCUCACCCCUCACCUACUCACCCCUCACCCCCUCACCCCUCACCUCAACUCACCCCUCACCCCUCACCCCCUCACCCCCUCACCCCCUCACCCCCUCACCCCUCACCCCUCACCUCACCUCACCCCUCACCUCACCCACCUCUCACUUCACCCACCUCUCACCUCAACAUCUCACCUCACCUCACCCCUCACCUCACCCCCUCACCCCCUCACCCCCUCACCCCCUCACCCCCUCACCUCUCACCUCCCACCACCAGCGCGAGUGUCUAUGUUUUCAGUUUCAGUUUCAUUGCACCUCAGUGUGGAAACUCAGGGCGGAGUCACAGCGAAUGAUCAGCUUGCGUUUGGCCCAAUGAGAACUUUACAAAGGCUUUUUGCAAAUUAA